RNAcentral lists this ribosomal RNA (493 nucleotides) under uncultured bacterium. RNAcentral's name for it is "partial 16S ribosomal RNA". It matches the Rfam family "Bacterial small subunit ribosomal RNA", at positions 30 to 523 of the family's 1533-position model. The record is from RNAcentral.
AUUGAACGCUGGCGGCAUGCUUUACACAUGCAAGUCGAACGGUAACAGGUUAAGCUUACGAGUGGCGAACGGGUGAGUAAUGCAUCGGAACGUGCCCGGUCGUGGGGGAUAACGCACCGACAGGUGUGCUAAUACCGCAUACGUCCUGAGGGAGAAAGCGGGGGAUCGCAAGACCUCGCGCGAUGGGAGCGGCCGAUGCCGGAUUAGCUAGUUGGUGGGGUAAAGGCCUACCAAGGCGACGAUCCGUAGCUGGUCUGAGAGGGUGAUCAGUCAAACUGGAACUGAGAUACGGACCAGAGUCCUACGGGAGGCAGCAGUGGGGAAUAUUGGACAAUGGGGGCAAGCCUGAUCCAGCCAUGCCGCGUGUGUGAAGAAGGCCCUAGGGUUGUAAAGCACUUUCAGUGGGGAGAAAGGUUGUUCAGUUAAUACCUGAAUGAAUUGAUGUUACCCACAGAAGAAGCACCGGCUAACUCCGUGCCAGCAGCCGCCGUAA